RNAcentral lists this ribosomal RNA (413 nucleotides) under uncultured eukaryote. RNAcentral describes it as "bacterial SSU rRNA". It matches the Rfam family "Eukaryotic small subunit ribosomal RNA", at positions 592 to 1013 of the family's 1831-position model. The record is from RNAcentral.
CAAUAGCGUAUAUUAAAGUUGUUGCAGUUAAAAGCUCGUAGUUGGAUUUCGGAGUGGGCCAGUUGGUCCGCCGCAAGGUGUGUUACUGACUGGUUUGCUCUUCUUCGCAAAGACUGCGUGUGCCCUUAAAUGAGUGUGCGUAGGAUUUACGACGUUUACUUUGAAAAAUUAGAGUGUUCAAAGCAGGCUAUUGCUUGAAUACAUUAGCAUGGAAUAAUAAUAUAGGGCGUAAGUUCUAUCUUGUUGGUUUCUAGAACAUACGCAAUGAUUAAUAGGGACAAUUGGGGCGAUUCGUAUUAACGCGUCAGAGGUGGAAUUCUUAGAUUGCGUUACGACGAACUACUGCGAAAGCAUUUGCCAAGGAUGUUUUCAUUGAUCAAGAACGAAAGUAUGGGGAUCGAAGACGAUUAGAU